This 404-nucleotide long non-coding RNA is filed under the name Nicotiana benthamiana. Its description in RNAcentral is "long non-coding RNA (NBEN_LNC020005)". The record is from RNAcentral. Lineage: Eukaryota; Viridiplantae; Streptophyta; Magnoliopsida; Solanales; Solanaceae.
GGGAAAAUACUUUAAACAUCCAGUAGAACGCAAAUACAUCAUAGAAUAAAGAAAACAAAUAGAGAAAAACCUUGAAUAACUUAGGGUUUCCUAGAAAUGAGAAAGGCUUGAAAGAGAAGCCGAUCUCGAGUUGGAGAGGUCAAAAAUGGCUUCUAGUGCUUGAAUAUGCCGGAGCAUGGUCGGAGAGGCCAUAGAAUUAUAGAUCUGAGAAGAUUUAAAAGAGAAACGUCAAGGUUAGACUUUAAAACCUCGAACACCCAAGGUUUAAUAAUGGAGAGGGGUGAGUAUAGAGCAUCCAUGGCCUGAGAAACCAUUGAUUCCGGUGAAAGUACGGUGAAAAAAGGUAGGAGGUAUAGGGUUCCGAAGAACCUUUGAGAGAGUUUGAGAGACGAAAGGGUUCAAAC